Molecule: ribosomal RNA, 380 nt
Filed under: uncultured soil bacterium
Lineage: Bacteria
Description: bacterial SSU rRNA
Rfam family: Bacterial small subunit ribosomal RNA
Source: RNAcentral
AGAUUGAACGCUGGCGGCAUGCCUUACACAUGCAAGUCGAACGGCAGCACGGGAGCAAUCCUGGUGGCGAGUGGCGAACGGGUGAGUAAUACAUCGGAACGUGCCCAAUCGUGGGGGAUAACGCAGCGAAAGCUGUGCUAAUACCGCAUAAGAUCUACGGAUGAAAGCAGGGGAUCGCAAGACCUUGCGCGAAUGGAGCGGCCGACGGCAGAUUAGGUAGUUGGUGAGGUAAAGGCUCACCAAGCCUUCGAUCUGUAGCUGGUCUGAGAGGACGACCAGCCACACUGGGACUGGAGACACGGCCAGACUCCGUACGGAGCAGCAGUGGGAAUUUGGACAAGUGGGCGAAAGCCUGACCAGCCAUGCCGACGUCGCGAGAG